CAGCAGCCGGCGGUAAUACGUAGGUGGCAAGCGUUGUCCGGAAUUAUUGGGCGUAAAGCGCGCGCAGGCGGAUCGGUCAGUCUGUCUUAAAAGUUCGGGGCUUAACCCCGUGAUGGGAUGGAAACUGCCAAUCUAGAGUAUCGGAGAGGAAAGUGGAAUUCCUAGUGUAGCGGUGAAAUGCGUAGAUAUUAGGAAGAACACCAGUGGCGAAGGCGACUUUCUGGACGAAAACUGACGCUGAGGCGCGAAAGCCAGGGGAGCGAACGGGAUUAGAUACCCGAGUAGUCCCUGUCUCUUAUAC
Molecule: ribosomal RNA, 301 nt
Filed under: uncultured bacterium
Lineage: Bacteria
Description: partial 16S ribosomal RNA
Rfam family: Bacterial small subunit ribosomal RNA
Source: RNAcentral